Molecule: long non-coding RNA, 984 nt
Organism: Oncorhynchus tshawytscha (Chinook salmon)
Lineage: Eukaryota; Metazoa; Chordata; Actinopteri; Salmoniformes; Salmonidae
Source: Ensembl
GAAAGGAGAGGCGGCCAAAGGGGGAAUUGAUUUUUGGAGUGACCAGAGAGAUAUACCUGCUGGAGCGCGUGCUACAGGUGGACUCCAAUCAAGUUGUAGAAACAUCUCAAGGAUGAUGAAUGGAAACAGGAUGCACCUGAGCUCAUUUCAAGUUGUUUAUUAAGGGCUUGUAAGGCUGUCAAAGAGCUCUCCUCCUUUACCACGCUGCACACGACUGGCUGCGUGUGACGGAAUGCCAGUGUGGGGACCAAGGAUGGAGGUGAGGGGACUAUGGUCCGUCAGCAGUGUGAUUCGUCGGCCAAACAGAAACUGAUGACAUCUCUCAACUCCGUCUUAUCUCCGAACACAAUGGCGAGUGUUUCACACUCUAUCUGUGCAUAGUUAACGUCUGUGAUGCGAAAGAAAUUGGCCUCUCUUUCCACGAUGGCAUGAUGUGUGAGACAACAGCACCAACGUCGUAAGGUGAUGCAUAACAUGCCAACUGUAAUGGCAAGUUAGGGUUGAAGUGGAUGAGAGCCUCUGACUGACCUAAGGCUUCCUCACAUUUGUCUGUCCACCUCCACUGUUUGCUUUUGUUCCAAAGUUAAUGCAGUGGCUUUAACAUUUUAGCUAGGUUUGGCAAACACUUUGCGUAGUACAUCCGCAGAACUAAGAAUGAUCGCAGCUGACUUAUGUUCCAUUUGGAUGGAGCUUCCGCGAUGGCCUUCACCUUUGAUGGCGCCUUGUGGAGCCCUGGAAUGUCGGUAACAGGUACUCAACAGAAGUUCGGGAGGGUUCUUCCGGACCCUCAGACUGUACUCUUCUAGUCUCUGUAGUGUAGUGUCCAGAUGUCUCAGGUGUUCCUGCUCGUCUUUGACGGUGAUGAGUAAAUCAUCGAGUUAACACUGGACCCCAGUGAGCCCACUCAGUAUCUGGUCCAUAGUUCUCUGAAACCAGACCGGAGCUUAGUUGAUUCCAGUAGGAAGCCUCUGGUACCUGUACAGU